UGGCCAAGCUUCUUACCUCUCCCUGGGUUUAGCUUGCACUUUCUUUUCAGGUGUCUCACCUCUGAGGUAGAAAAAACCCAUGGGUCUGUCUACUGCACAAAAUCUAAACCUGUAUCCUGCCCACUUUUCACGAUGACCCACUGUUGGAGCAAUAGAGAACUCUGCAAGCAGGGAAAUCACAGAAUAGAAGAAGAAAGAAUUAAAAGACAUCAUUGGAACUUACAGAAGAAGGGCCAUGUGAAGACACAAAGAGAAGAUUGCCGUGUACAAACCAAGGAGACAGGACUCUGAAGAAACCAAAACUGCCAAUGACUUGAUCUUGGGCUUCUAGCCUUCAGAACCAUGAUAAAUAUUUUUGUUUAAGCCAAAAAUAAAAAGACAUAAUUGAUUUUUUUAAAAAGCCAUUUUAAUGUGUAAGUUGUUCUGGUGAUAACAAUUAUGAAUCUUUAGUGAGGAUGGGGGAAGGCUCCUAUGCCUCCUUAUCCUCUUGCAAUCUUAACAAAAAUUGCUGUGAUGUGUUUUAGAUGAUGGUGAAGUGGCUAUGGCCUAAGCCUUACAUUCUCUGCCCAGUGGCCUGGUAUCUAGACAUAUGCCUAUUCUACCGUGGAAAGUCUGGCCCACCCUCACUAAAUCACCGAAGAAAGGCACUACAUUAAGUUCUUAUUCAUUUCUUUCUUAAAACUUCACAAGUCCUGUAUAAGUGAAAAAAAGAAGACUAUUUCUAUUUGGAACUAAAAAUUUUAUUUUCUAAAUGAAACUCAAGUUUCUUAUAUAAUAUAUUGGUUGUUAUACUUCCUAGUAAUCCCUGUAAAACUCAGUAACUUAUAAAGUUAUAUGGCCACAUAUAUGUAUGUGUGUGCGCGUGUAUGAACAAUUCAUGUGAUUACCAAUGUGGACUGAAAGAGACUUAGAGAAAUGUCAUACUGACCAUGCUACUUACCCAAAGCAGGAACAGUCUUACAUUAUUUUAAACAACUGGACCACUUAGAUUUUUUAUAAAGGGGAGUUCCUGAAGAGCUGAAGAGAGGUGGGAAAGACUAAUAUUUAUUAAA
Long non-coding RNA from Lynx canadensis (Canada lynx), 1052 nucleotides. RefSeq lists it as uncharacterized. The record is from RefSeq and is a predicted model, not a curated record. The transcript is spliced from 3 exons. Lineage: Eukaryota; Metazoa; Chordata; Mammalia; Carnivora; Felidae.